Molecule: ribosomal RNA, 460 nt
Filed under: uncultured bacterium
Lineage: Bacteria
Description: partial 16S ribosomal RNA
Rfam family: Bacterial small subunit ribosomal RNA
Source: RNAcentral
CCUACGGGUGGCAGCAGUGAGGAAUAUUGGGCAAUGGACGAGAGUCUGAACCAGCCAAGUAGCGUGAAGGAUGACUGCCCUAUGGGUUGUAAACUUCUUUUAUAAGGGAAUAAAACGAGGCACGUGUGCCUUUUUGCAUGUACUUUAUGAAUAAGGAUCGGCUAACUCCGUGCCAGCAGCCGCGGUAAGACGGAGGAUCCGAGCGUUAUCCUGAAUUGUUGGGUUUAAAGGGAGCGUAGAUGGGUUGUUAAGUUAGUUGUGAAAGUUUGCGGCUCAACCGUAAAAUUGCAAUUGAUACUGGCAGUCUUGAGUACAGAUGAGGUAGGCGGAAUUCGUGGUGUAGCGGUGAAAUGCGUAGAGAUCACGAAGAACCCCGAUUGCGAAGGCAGCUUACUAAACUGUGACUGACAUUGAUGCUCGAAAGUGUGGGUAUCAAACAGGAUUAGAUACCCCAGUAGUC